Molecule: unclassified non-coding RNA, 354 nt
Filed under: soil metagenome
Description: partial contains 5.8S ribosomal RNA, internal transcribed spacer 2, and large subunit ribosomal RNA
Rfam family: 5.8S ribosomal RNA (bases 1-120)
Source: RNAcentral
GAUGAAGAACGUAGCGAAAUGCGAUACGUAAUGUGAAUUGCAGAAUUCAGUGAAUCAUCGAGUCUUUGAACGCACAUUGCGCCCCCUGGCAUUCCGGGGGGCAUGUCUGUCCGAGCGUCAUUUCUGCCCUCCAGCCCGGCUGGGUGUUGGGCGCUGUCCCCCCGGGGACACGCCCCAAAGGCAGUGGCGGCGCCGCGUCGGGUCCUCGAGCGUAUGGGGCUUUGUCACCCGCUCGGGACGGACUCGUCGGCGCUGGUCUUCCUCCAGGCGACCCUUCGGGGCUCGUCUUCCUUCGGUUGACCUCGGAUCAGGUAGGGUUACCCGCUGAACUUAAGCAUAUCAAUAAGCGGAGGA